GCAGAGUGAUAAUAAAGGUCUGGUUCUCCGGUUGCAUAUUGUUGGACACGGAACUCCGGAUGAGCGUAGAAACUGGCAGUGAGAGCCGGUUUAACUUUACCUAGACAAGACAAGACGAGACGAGACGAGACGGUACUUGUCCUCUCGCUGAACAGGUUCAGUGGCCGUCAUGAUCAUCCAUAGCGGAUAGGUGAAGGGGUGUGUGUGCAUGUGGCCACAGGUGGCGCAAGAGGACCAUGGAGCCUGAUGUCAUCCGUCUGUACUCUUCCUCUCCGCCUCCACUGGAUGAGGCUGGAGAGGAAGAAGAGGAGGAUGAGUUUGGUGAGUUCGGGGGUUUCGAUGGUGGAGGGGUGUCGUCCAGUUUCAACUUCUCAGAGCUCGACACGCCCACAUCAUUCAAUCAAUCAAACGCACUGGAGGACUCCCCACCUGACCUGUACAUCAAAUCCGUGCAGAAUGUCACUGUAUCGGGGAGUGGAUGGGAUAAUGAAAAAAAAAUGGUAGGAGAAUCAAUCCGCAGUGUCGAGAAAACAGAGAAGGAAUCGUCUGACAUUCUCACAAAUGGCGUGAUGUCCUCCGACCUACAGAAGGAGCUCUCUGUUGAAUAUGGUCAGAACUCUCCCUCAAUAAUUCCCGAUGUCCAAAACAGCAGCAUAGGUGACAGACACCGCCUCAGUAACGGCUACAGUGAGUCUUGUGCAAAAUCAGAGCAGGACAGAGCUCUUUCCACUUGCUUACAAAGCACAGACACUGAGGAACAUUCUGGACUAGAUGUCAACAUAGCUGAUGUGUUAGACAGAAAGCAGUUAAUUAACCAAACGGACAACCUGCCAGACUCGAACAAUCAGUCAUUGCAACAAGAAAAAUCUGAACCUGGAGAGACAGAAAGGAGACUGGAGUUAUCUGGUGACUCCCAGUCAUUUACUUCCAGUAGAGAUGCACAGGAGGCUGAAGGUGAGCAGGAUCAAAUGGAGAACUUUGUUGUUUGUGGUGACACAGACUGUCUAGACAUGUCUGCGGACUCUGUUGACAUAGCGGAAACAGAGACGGACCCCUCAGUGGAUGUGGAUCUAAUCUCUGCCACACAGCUGAGUGGAGACACAAGGGAAAUUCAUGGAUCAUCUGUAAAGACAGAGGUCGAAGUAAACGAGGAGGUUGAGACACACAUGAACCCAACAGCUAAUGAUGAUUUUGGCAAUUUCAGAGAUGCAACUCAGGGUUUUGCAGACUUCAGCCGAACUGAAUCUAUAACCCAGGAAGGAUUUCCUGAAUUUGUCACAGCGAUGUCCAGGUGCUCCACAGAUGAUGAGUUUGGUGAUUCGGACACCCUGAAGGACUUCAAGGAUGACGACGAGCUGACUGAGGAAGCAGCGGAUGAUGAAGUAGCUUUUUGUUCUGAGUUGCCUCCUAGUGACAGUUUUGCUGACUUUAGUUCAGCUCCGUUUGGAGGUGUGGUUGUGGGAGGUGAGGACAACUGGGCUGCAUUUGGACCACCUGAAGCCACUGAAGAGUGUCAGGGUUCAUGGGCCACAUUUGAGGAUGAACAGAGUACUUACCUGGGUAAAGAAGAACAAGAUGUUGAGAGUUCAGUAGCACCCUCUAGUGACGACCUCCAGAGUAGCACUGCUGAUUUCGGCUGCAAAAUACAGCAUCUCUUUAGAACCGCCUUCCCCUCAGACAUCUGUUUUGAGGUCAGCAGGGUCAUUGAGGUCUUGCCCCUCCACAAAUUCCUACAGGCUCAGGAUCCUGAGGAGCAAAGGGAUCCAAGCAGCUCUUUUGCACAGGAGAAUGCUUUGGCCAUGUGGCGCCACCUUCAGGACAUCCACGGCACUCAUGGCCUUAAGUACAAGUGGGCUGGUUCCCAUAGCAACAGAAUACUUCUGGAUUGCCUAGGAAUCAGGAAUAUUUUGUUCACUGGAGAUAAGAAGCAGCCAGUGAUCGUGCCUAUGUUUGCUGCUGGACUGGGAAUGCUGGAACCCACCAAAGAGUCUCAGUCUCCAGUCUCCCCUGCACUUUCCCUUUCUGCUCCUGUGGACAGUGGAAAUAUUUUAUGCACUCAGGUGGCGCCCUCUUUGGCCAUUAGUAUUGACGGUACGUCUUUUCGCCGUGCCUCCUUCUCUAGAGUUCAAGAAAAAGCCACUCGUCACUCACGGCAGAAAUCCUACUCCUGAUGCUGCCUCGCUUACCCUUGUCUGAGCACUUCCUUCCUCUCUCACGACACGCUUUUCUUCUCUCCAUUUUUCAAAGUUCCUGUCCCUUCACAAUUCACAUGCCACUUAGGAAAGUUUCUUUCCUGGUACUUGUUUUAUCAGUGUUGAUUUAAAACAACACAAAACUAGCAUUAGCAGAAGCAGAGCAUUAGCAGAAGUAGCUAUCAAAAUCUUGUUUAUUAUCCAAAGAACGGGAAACUUUUUUUCCCCCAGUUUUUUGUCUUUUUUCAUGAAACAUUAUAAAUAUAUAUUCAUAUAAAUCCAUUCAUCUCAGUUUCCCUUUUAAAUGUUAAUUUAUGUUUAUAUCUUGCCUCUCUCCCCUCUUGUUCACUGUUAAAGUCCAGACUCAUGCUGGCUACACACAGAGGCUGAAAUAUACUACCUCAAACUAUAAGUAUGCAGCUUCAACUGUGAUUUAUUACCUUGCCAUUAUAUGCAAGACUUGAGAUAAAGAGAACUAUACCCAUUAUCAAGUAUGUUCUCAGUUGUGUUGUAAAAAUACAACCAAAUUGGUCCCUGUGCACCAGCUUCUGUCUCAGGUUUGACUAAAAAGAGAUUGCAAAUCUUUUUGGAAUAGCUGACCUUAUUGCUGGUGCUUACUUGAAGCCAUUAUACAGCUUGGCUGAAAUUAAAGGGAAAACACCACCACAUUUUGCUACAACACAUUGAGAUGCUAUUUUAAAAUUGUGAAGGUUUAAUUAGGUGGUAAUUUCUGUUACACAGUCUAUGUUAAUGUGUAAUUCUGUUUUCAUUCAGAUAAAAGCAAAACAGUGUUUCCUUGCUGUCUCAAAACCCACUGUGAGCAGCAGUGAAACAUUAGUUAAUGCACUUUUUUGACCAACUUAACUUGCAUACUGUGAUUUCCCACUUUGCUUGAUCUUAAGUGAAUGUUCUGGGUUCAAUACAAGUUCAAACAACAAAAUUUGCUUCAUAAUGUUGAUUACCACAGAAAAUAAUUUUGACUUCUUUUCUUUUUCUUAGUUAAUUUUUGCUAAAAAAACUAAAAAGUUUACAGUUUGUUAUGGCUGUAUUUUUUAAAAAUGGUGUGUAUAUUAAGACUUUCUCCCAGUGCGAUUGCCGUGAUAUUAAGCUUUUUUUAUUGAGGGAUGAGUCACUUUUUUUUGUGAUAAUCAGAAUUAUGCCACAAAUUAAAUUAAGAAAUCCAGAAUAUUCCUUUAACCAAAAUGAUCGACCUUAAUCUCUUUUUCUGGAUAGUAUUUUUUUUUUUUUUCAGUUUUGUUGCACCAAAUUGUUAUUAAACAUGUCAAUAAAUAUAUUAUACUAUAUAUUAUACUACAGUAUUCUGUUCGUCGCUUGCUUUUCUAUUCUUUCUUAUUCUCUUUAUUUUUUUCUUGCCCUGUCACUCCUAAUACAAAUUCCCUGGUGCUGAUCUGCCUUUUCUCUACAUGCUUCUUAUACAUUUACACUAACAUUCAAAAGUUUGGGGUCAGUAAGUUUUAUUAUUAUUAUAUAAAGAAAAUGCAGUAAACACAAUUAAAAGUAACCGUUUCUAUUUUAAAAUGUAAUUUAUUUAUGUGACAAAGCUGAAUUUUCAGCAGCCAUUACUCCAGUUUUCAGUGUCACAUUAUCCUUCAGAAAUCAUUGUAUUAUGCUGAUUUGGUGUUCAACCAUCUUUUCUUAUUAUUAUUAUUAUCAUCAUCAAUGCUUAAAACAGCUUCACAUUUUUGUGGAAACCAUGAUACAUUUUUUCAGGAUACUUUGAUAAAUAGAAACUUCAAUGGCAUUUAUUUAAAAUAGAAAUCCUUUGUAACAAUGUAUAAGUCUUUACUGUCUCUUUUGAUCAAUUUAAUGCAUCCUUGCUGAAUAAAAGUAUUACUAAAAAAAAAAACUUACUGAACCUUUGAAUGGUAGUGUAUUUAAUACUGUAAUAUAUUGUGGGUAUGUUUAACUACUAACAACAUGCUAACCCUCCAUAUCCUGCUGUCAUUGCUGCGGCUCUCAUGUGAAGCACAAGAUGGGGGAAUAUCAGAGCUAAAUUUGGACUAUUUUGGUCCUGUGGAUGAAUGUAGCUCAGAUAGUGAAACUGACACCCCACUGCCAGGUUAGAACGGAAUGGGUUUGUCUCAGAGAAGUGAGUGGUUUGCUGUGAAAUCUUUGUUUCUUCCUUUUCCCUUGUGUCUGUGAUUUUCAAAAUCAGUCUUUAGAGAAGCUUGUCAUCUUUAGCAUUUGUUCGUAGUCUAGUGUUCUGUCCCUGGUUUCCUCUCUCUGGACUUGCUUGCAGUAUCUGCCUCUGUGUUGAUCCAGAGAUAUAUGAACUGACUACAGCUAAAAUGGAGAACAACGCCACUGGUCGCUACAUUGCAGAUGCAUUUACAAAACUCAUGGAGUCUAUGGACAAAACCAGAACAACA
RNA transcript from Onychostoma macrolepis, 4582 nucleotides. It is a transcript of the gene named aftiphilin b, with no coding region annotated. The record is from RefSeq and is a predicted model, not a curated record. Lineage: Eukaryota; Metazoa; Chordata; Actinopteri; Cypriniformes; Cyprinidae. The transcript has 8 exons.